Molecule: ribosomal RNA, 482 nt
Filed under: uncultured bacterium
Lineage: Bacteria
Description: bacterial SSU rRNA
Rfam family: Bacterial small subunit ribosomal RNA
Source: RNAcentral
AUUGAACGCUGGCGGCAUGCUUUACACAUGCAAGUCGAACGGUAACAGGGAGCUUGCUCCGCUGACGAGUGGCGAACGGGUGAGUAAUGCAUCGGAACGUACCCAGUCGUGGGGAUAACGUAGCGAAAGUUACGCUAAUACCGCAUACGUCCUGAGGGAGAAAGCGGGGGACCGUAAGGCCUCGCGCGAUUGGAGCGGCCGAUGUCGGAUUAGCUAGUUGGUGGGUAAAGGCCUACCAAGGCGACGAUCCGUAGCGGGUCUGAGAGGAUGAUCCGCCACACUGGGACUGAGACACGGCCCAGACUCCUACGGGAGGCAGCAGUGGGGAAUUUUGGACAAUGGGGGCAACCCUGAUCCAGCAAUGCCGCGUGAGUGAAGAAGGCCUUCGGGUUGUAAAGCUCUUUUGUUUGGGAAGAAAUCCCUAAGGAUAAUACCCUUGGGGGAUGACGGUACCAAAAGAAUAAGCACCGGCUAACUACGUG